Molecule: ribosomal RNA, 416 nt
Filed under: uncultured bacterium
Lineage: Bacteria
Description: bacterial SSU rRNA
Rfam family: Bacterial small subunit ribosomal RNA
Source: RNAcentral
UAUUGGUCAAUGGGCGGGAGCCUGAACCAGCCAAGCCGCGUGAAGGAGGAAGGCGCCAUGCGUCGUAAACUUCUUUUGUCGGGGAACAAAGGGCGCCACGCGUGGCGUUGUGAGUGUACCCGCAGAAAAAGCAUCGGCUAACUCCGUGCCAGCAGCCGCGGUAAUACGGAGGAUGCGAGCGUUAUCCGGAUUUAUCGGGUUUAAAGGGUGCGGAGGCGGGCUGUUAAGUCAGCGGUAAAGAUGCGGGGCUCAACCCCGUCCGGCCGUUGAAACUGGGGGCCUUGAGUGGGCGAGAAGAAGGCGGAAUGCGUGGUGUAGCGGUGAAAUGCAUAGAUAUCACGCAGAACCCCGAUUGCGAAGGCAGCCUUCCGGCGCCCUACUGACGCUGAGGCACGAAAGUGCGGGGAUCGAACAGG